This 434-nucleotide ribosomal RNA is filed under the name uncultured bacterium. Its description in RNAcentral is "partial 16S ribosomal RNA". It matches the Rfam family "Bacterial small subunit ribosomal RNA", at positions 29 to 507 of the family's 1533-position model. The record is from RNAcentral.
AGCGAACGCUGGCGGCAGGCCUAACACAUGCAAGUCGAACGGCCCCAUCGUGGUUGCUUGCGCUCGGGUGAGUCGCGUGUCGGAACGUGCCUUUAGGCUCGGGAUACUACAGUGUCGCUUGUGCUAAUACCGAAUGUGUUCCUCGGGUACCAGAUUUAUCGCCUUUAGAGCGGCCCGCGACUGAUUAGCUAGUUGGUGGUGGUUAUGGCGCACCAAGGCGACGAUCAGUAGCUGGUAUGAGAGGAUGAUCAGCCACAUUGGGACGGAGACACGGCCCAAACUCCUACGGGAGGCAGCAGUGGGGAAUCUUGCGAAAUGGGCGAAAGGCAGACGCAGCCAUGCCGGGUGAAUGAUGAAGUUGGUAGGAUAGUAAAAUUCUUUCACCGGGGACGAUAAUGACGGUACCCGGAGAAGAAGCCCCGGCUAACUUCGUG